Molecule: ribosomal RNA, 253 nt
Filed under: uncultured bacterium
Lineage: Bacteria
Description: partial 16S ribosomal RNA
Rfam family: Bacterial small subunit ribosomal RNA
Source: RNAcentral
UACAGAGGUCUCAAGCGUUGUUCGGGUUCAUUGGGCGUAAAGGGUGCGUAGGCGGCGCGGUAAGUCGGGUGUGAAAUCUCGGAGCUUAACUCCGAAACUGCAUUCGAUACUGCCGUGCUUGAGGACUGGAGAGGAGACUGGAAUUUACGGUGUAGCGGUGAAAUGCGUAGAUAUCGUAAGGAAGACCAGUGGCGAAGGCGGGUCUCUGGACAGUUCCUGACGCUGAGGCACGAAAGCCAGGGGAGCAAACGGG